Molecule: small RNA, 225 nt
Filed under: Enterobacteriaceae bacterium strain FGI 57
Lineage: Bacteria; Pseudomonadati; Pseudomonadota; Gammaproteobacteria; Enterobacterales; Enterobacteriaceae
Source: RNAcentral
GUUUCAGGGAUAGGCCUCAGGAUGAGGUAAGUGGAUACGCCAGGAUGGUGUUACAAGGAAAGGCUUCAGGACGAGGCAAAAUGGAAAACGCCAGGACGCGUUAAAGGACACCUCCAGGACGGAGAAUGAGAGCCAGACAGGAUGCCUGGUGGAGCAAGAAGUUCAGGACAUACUCAGGGAUUGGGUAGAUUCGCAUCGGGGUGGUGUGAGCAGGACGCAACAGUU